This is a long non-coding RNA of Dromaius novaehollandiae (emu), 542 nucleotides long. RefSeq lists it as uncharacterized. The record is from RefSeq and is a predicted model, not a curated record. Lineage: Eukaryota; Metazoa; Chordata; Aves; Casuariiformes; Dromaiidae. The transcript has 2 exons.
UCUGGGCGCCUCUCUCUCUCUCCUCCUCUCACUUUCUUUAAGCUAAGCGGGGAGUGGAAGAUGAUGCUUCAGGAAACCAGGAUGAACUCAUUAUUAUGUUGUGAAACUAAAUCCAUAAAGCAGUCAUGAUGAGUAACUCCGGGACUCGUCGUGAUUGGGCAGUAACACACAGUUUUAUCAUCUAGAGAAUUCCUGUGUGCUCCAAGCGAGUGCGGAUUUACAACAAGGUUUCCUCUCCACUGUCAAGAAAUCAGGCUACCAAGCCACUGUUUAUUUAAUUACCGUUAAUUUUUUACUUCUUUUCCAUCAGUUUGACAAGUUUUGUGUGAUUUAAUUGUGAACUUUACAACAUUUGGUGCCUUUCUUAAAGCUGUAGCUCCUGGAUUCAUAUGAUUAUGGGAGAAACUCAGUGGUUUUUUUUUUAAUUUAGUUUUUAGCCUGUGUGUUUGUAGAUAUGUGCUUGAAGACACAAACUUUAAAGGCACGAAAAGAAAAAGGUACAAGACAAAUAAAAUUAUCCAAAAAUGCAUUGGUUUUUGUAA